UAAUACGGAGGGUGCAAGCGUUAUCCGGAUUCACUGGGUUUAAAGGGUGCGUAGGCGGGCAGAUAAGUCAGCGGUGAAAUCCCCGAGCUUAACUUGGGAACUGCCGUUGAUACUAUUUGUCUUGAAUGUCGUGGAGGUUAGCGGAAUAUGUCAUGUAGCGGUGAAAUGCUUAGAUAUGACAUAGAACACCCAUUGCGAAGGCAGCUAACUACGCGGAUAUUGACGCUGAGGCACGAAAGCGUGGGGAUCAAACAGGAUUAGAUACCCUGGUAGUCCACGCCCUAAACGAUGAUUACUCGACAUUGGCGAUACACUGUCAGUGUCUGAGCGAAAGCAUUAAGUAAUCCACCUGGGAAGUACGAUCGCAAGAUUG
This 373-nucleotide ribosomal RNA is filed under the name uncultured bacterium. RNAcentral describes it as "bacterial SSU rRNA". It matches the Rfam family "Bacterial small subunit ribosomal RNA", at positions 521 to 896 of the family's 1533-position model. The record is from RNAcentral.